Molecule: ribosomal RNA, 944 nt
Filed under: uncultured archaeon
Lineage: Archaea
Description: bacterial SSU rRNA
Rfam family: Archaeal small subunit ribosomal RNA
Source: RNAcentral
UUCCGGUUGAUCCUGCCGGACCCCACUGCUAUCGGGAUAGGACUAAGACAUGCUAGUCAAGCGCUUUCUAGCUAAUGUGAGAGCGCGGCGUACAGCUCAGUAACACGUGGCCAACCUGCCCUUGGGACGGGAACACCCCCGGGAAACUGGGGUUAAUUCCCGAUAGGUGAAGAAGUCUGGAAUGACUCUUCGCUCAAAAGACGUUUAUGUCAUGCUCAUAUUCGUCGCCCAGGGAUGGGGCCGCGACCGAUCAGGUAGUUGGUGAGGCAAUGGCUCACCAAGCCUUUUACCGGUGCGGGCCGUGAGAGCGGGAGCCCGGAGAUGGGCACUGAGACAAGGGCCCAGGCCCCACGGGGCGCACAGUCGCGAAAAUUUUGCAAUACACGAAAGUGUGACAAGGCUAUCCCGAGUGCCAUCCGCUGAGGAAGGCUUUUACCCAGUAUAAAUAGCUGGGAGAAUAAGGAGAGGGCAAGUCUGGUGUCAGCCGCCGCGGUAAUACCAGCUCUCCGAGUAGUGUGGACGUUUAUUGGGCCUAAAGCAUCCGUAGCUUGCUAGAUAAGUCCUCUGUUAAAUCCACCGAUUCAAUCGUUGGAUUGCGGGGGAUACUGUUUGGCUAGGGGACGGGAGAGGUCGACGGUAUUUCCGGGGUAGGGGUGAAAUCCUAUAAUCCCGGGAGGACCACCAGUGGCGAAGGCUGUCGACUAGAACGCGCCCGACGGUGAGGGAUGAAAGCUGGGGGAGCGAACCGGAUUAGAUACCCGGGUAGUCCCAGCUGUAAACGAUGCAGGCUAGGUGUUUGGGCGGCCACGAGCCGCCCUAGUGCCGCAGGGAAGCUGUUAAGCCUGCCGCCUGGGGAGUACGGCCGCAAGGCUGAAACUUAAAGGAAUUGGCGGGGGAGCACCACAAGGGGUGAAGCUUGCGGUUUAAUUGGAAUCAACGCCGGU